ACCAGUCGGAUCUCUACUCUGAACUUCUAUUGCAAGCGGACUUCAUCCGAGCUUCUACAAUAAGAAGUCUCCAUCCAAGCUUCCACAGCAACUGAACUCCGUUCAAACUUCUACAGUAAGUGGCCUCCUUUCAGACUCCUACAAGAGUCAGACUCCAUCCGAACUUCUACAGCGGAUGGAUCUCAGAAAAACUUCUACGAUGGACGGGCUCC
Molecule: long non-coding RNA, 212 nt
Filed under: Elaeis guineensis (African oil palm)
Lineage: Eukaryota; Viridiplantae; Streptophyta; Magnoliopsida; Arecales; Arecaceae
Description: long non-coding RNA (EGUI_LNC040951)
Source: RNAcentral